This 363-nucleotide unclassified non-coding RNA is filed under the name uncultured fungus. RNAcentral describes it as "sequence contains ITS1". The stretch from base 1 to 105 matches the Rfam family "5.8S ribosomal RNA", at positions 50 to 154 of the family's 154-position model. Lineage: Eukaryota; Fungi. The record is from RNAcentral.
AAAAUGCGAUACGCAAUGCGAAUUGCAGAAUUCCGCGAAUCAUCAGAUCCUUGAACGCAACUGGCGCCAUAGGGAUAUCCUUAUGGCAUGCCUGUUUCAGUGUCUGAAAACAUCCAAUACAUUGUAAUGUGUUUGACGGAGUUGUCGAGCUCUUGCAGUUCGUCAACAAGUCUUACAUUAAAGAUGUAUGCGUGGGUCUUCGGGUCCCAUCGAAUUGGUCACUGACAUCUCGGUGAUUUCGACUGUGGAUAUUGGUAUUUUACUAUAUCAAAAACCGAAGUUUCACCCAACUACGCAUAGAACCAAAACAUACAACUUCAACAUCUGCAUCUGAAAUCAGGCAAGAACACCCGCUGAACUUAA